AUUGAACGCUGGCGGAAUGCUUUACACAUGCAAGUCGAACGGUAGAGGGGGCAACCCCCUUGAGAGUGGCGAACGGGUGAGUAAUAUAUCGGAACGUGCCCGGUCGUGGGGAUAACGUAGCGAAAGUUACGCUAAUACCGCAUACGAUCUAAGGAUGAAAGCGGGGGAUCGCAAGACCUCGCGCGAUUGGAGCGGCCGAUAUCAGAUUAGGUAGUUGGUGAGGUAAAGGCUCACCAAGCCAACGAUCUGUAGCUGGUCUGAGAGGACGACCAGCCACACUGGAACUGAGACACGGUCCAGACUCCUACGGGAGGCAGCAGUGGGAAUUUUGGACAAUGGACGCAAGUCUGAUCCAGCCAUUCGCGU
This 366-nucleotide ribosomal RNA is filed under the name uncultured bacterium. RNAcentral describes it as "bacterial SSU rRNA". It matches the Rfam family "Bacterial small subunit ribosomal RNA", at positions 30 to 402 of the family's 1533-position model. The record is from RNAcentral.